GAUGAACGCUAGCUACAGGCUUAACACAUGCAAGUCGAGGGGAAACGACAUCGAAAGCUUGCUUUUGAUGGGCGUCGACCGGCGCACGGGUGAGUAACGCGUAUCCAACCUGCCCAUCACUUGGGAAUAACCUUGCGAAAGUAAGACUAAUGCCCAAUGAUAUCCCACGAAGGCAUCCGAAUGGGAUUAAAGAUUUAUCGGUGAUGGAUGGGGAUGCGUCUGAUUAGCUUGUUGGCGGGGUAACGGCCCACCAGGGCGACGAUCAGUAGGGGGUCCGCGAGGAAGGUCCCCCACCAUGGAACGGAUACACGGUCCAAACUCCUACGGGAGGCAGCAGUGAGGAAGAUUGGUCAAUGGGCGAGAGCCUGAACCAGCCAAGUAGCGUGCAGGAUGACGGCCCUAUGGGUUGUAAACUGCUUUUAUAAGGGAAUAAAGUGAGUCUCGUGAGACUUUUUGCAUGUACCUUAUGAAUAAGGACCGGCUAAUUCCGUGCCAGCCGCCGCCGUAA
This 508-nucleotide ribosomal RNA is filed under the name uncultured bacterium. RNAcentral describes it as "partial 16S ribosomal RNA". It matches the Rfam family "Bacterial small subunit ribosomal RNA", at positions 28 to 523 of the family's 1533-position model. The record is from RNAcentral.